Molecule: ribosomal RNA, 449 nt
Filed under: uncultured bacterium
Lineage: Bacteria
Description: bacterial SSU rRNA
Rfam family: Bacterial small subunit ribosomal RNA
Source: RNAcentral
AUAAACGCUGGCGGCGUGCCUAAUGCAUGCAAGUCGAACGGGACUUUUCGGAGUGCCGUGGCGAACGGGUGAGGAACACGUGGGUGACCUGCCGUGGAGUGGGGCAUAACCCGGGGAAACUCGGGCUAUUUCCGCAUACGGUCUGCGCUUCGGUGCGUAGAAGAAAGCCGUAAGGCGCUCGACGAGGGGCCUGCGUCCGAUUAGCUGGUUGGUGGGGUAAAGGCCUACCAAGGCUGUGAUCGGUAGCCGGUCUGAGAGGACGGCCGGCCACACUGGAACUGGGACACGGUCCAGACUCCUACGGGAGGCAGCAGCAAGGGAUAUUGCGCAAUGGCCGAAAGGCUGACGCAGCGACGCCGCGUGGGGGAGGAAGGCUUUCGGGUCGUAAACCCCUUUUGGUUGGGACGAAGACUGACGGUACCAGCCGAAGAAGCCCCGGCUAACUACGU